RNAcentral lists this long non-coding RNA (209 nucleotides) under Mytilus galloprovincialis (Mediterranean mussel). The record is from RNAcentral. Lineage: Eukaryota; Metazoa; Mollusca; Bivalvia; Mytilida; Mytilidae.
AUUGAUUCAGACCAAAUGUAUCAUAUCUUAAUGACAAUUAGGCAAACAUUUUUCACUAGUUCUUUUAUGUAUCUCUUUUAGAAUGACAGAGGAGAUUACGGAACAAAAAAGUCAAAAUUUAGAAUUUGACCUAGAUCUUUGACCUCGUUUUCUAUUCUUUGGACCAAGGACUUCAAAUCGACACGCCAUGGUUUACCAGUUACACACGC